UCAAACUUGGUCAUUUAGAGGAAGUAAAAGUCGUAACAAGGUUUCCGUAGGUGAACCUGCGGAAGGAUCAUUAUUGAGUCUUAUCCAGUCUUACUUGGCUGUGCAUUUACUUGCACGCUCGGUGGGGUUGGCUCUUCGACUUCACACACCUGUGCACCUUCGGAAUGCACUUCUCUGCUCAUGCACUUGUGCGUGGCUGUCUGCUCUUCGGGGUAGGAUUCGAGCGUUGUGGUGAAUUAAUUUUCAUGACUCGCUUCGGGGAGAAGUCUUCCGUAUUUUUUACACCUAAUUUAUUGUCUCUGAAUAAUUUCGUUUGCUCUGUAAUAGAGUGAUCGUUUAAAAUAAAUACAACUUUCAGCAACGGAUCUCUUGGCUCUCCCAUCGAUGAAGAACGCAGC
This 398-nucleotide unclassified non-coding RNA is filed under the name uncultured fungus. Its description in RNAcentral is "partial contains small subunit ribosomal RNA, internal transcribed spacer 1, and 5.8S ribosomal RNA". The stretch from base 1 to 73 matches the Rfam family "Eukaryotic small subunit ribosomal RNA", at positions 1759 to 1831 of the family's 1831-position model. The record is from RNAcentral. Lineage: Eukaryota; Fungi.